Long non-coding RNA from Microtus oregoni (creeping vole), 246 nucleotides. RefSeq lists it as uncharacterized. The record is from RefSeq and is a predicted model, not a curated record. The transcript has 3 exons. NCBI's taxonomy places the organism in Eukaryota, Metazoa, Chordata, Mammalia, Rodentia, Cricetidae.
AACGUAAUUUGUAUUUUUCCACUUUUCCCCAUAAUGACAAUAGACAUCUUCUUAUACUCAAGUAUGAAGAGCGCAUGCAUGCCUGUUGCCCAUGGAAGCCAAGAGAGGACAAUGAAUCCCUUGGCACUGGAGUUAACAGUUGAAAACUGCCAUGCUGGUUUUGGGAAAUGAGUCUUUGCCUGUUGCCUGUUGCUGAGGUUAUAUAUUUGGGUUGUGAUGGCCAGAUGACAAUUAACAUAUGAAGAA